Molecule: transfer RNA, 76 nt
Filed under: Christensenellaceae bacterium
Lineage: Bacteria; Bacillati; Bacillota; Clostridia; Christensenellales; Christensenellaceae
Description: tRNA-Ala
Rfam family: tRNA
About the family: Transfer RNA (tRNA) molecules are approximately 80 nucleotides in length.
Source: RNAcentral
GGGGCAUUAGCGCAGUUGGUAGCGUGCUUGAAUGGCAUUCAAGAGGCCAGGGGUUCGACUCCCCUAUGCUCCACCA